CGGGGUAUAGCUCAGUCUGGUAGAGCGCUUGAAUGGGGUUCAAGAGGUCGCACGUUCGAAUCGUGUUACCCCGACCA
RNAcentral lists this transfer RNA (77 nucleotides) under Deltaproteobacteria bacterium. RNAcentral describes it as "tRNA-Pro". It matches the Rfam family "tRNA". Rfam says of the family: Transfer RNA (tRNA) molecules are approximately 80 nucleotides in length. Lineage: Bacteria; Pseudomonadati; Myxococcota; Myxococcia. The record is from RNAcentral.